GCCGGAGUGGCGAAAUGGUAUACGCAGCGGACUCAAAAUCCGCCGCCUUCACGGGCUUAGGAGUUCAAGUCUCCUCUCCGGCACCA
RNAcentral lists this transfer RNA (86 nucleotides) under Deltaproteobacteria bacterium. Its description in RNAcentral is "tRNA-Leu". It matches the Rfam family "tRNA". From Rfam's summary of the family: Transfer RNA (tRNA) molecules are approximately 80 nucleotides in length. The record is from RNAcentral. RNAcentral also lists the same sequence under 2 other names. Lineage: Bacteria; Pseudomonadati; Myxococcota; Myxococcia.